ACCUCAUCUAUCGCAAGGAAUUCCUUCCGGUCAAUGGGGUUGUUAUACCUCAUCAAUCUGAAGGAAAUCCUUCCAAUUGAUGAGGCAUAACAACCUCAUCGACCGGAAGGAUUCCUUCUGGUUGAUGGGGU
This 131-nucleotide microRNA precursor is filed under the name Puccinia graminis f. sp. tritici CRL 75-36-700-3. RNAcentral describes it as "microRNA MIR807". The record is from RNAcentral. Lineage: Eukaryota; Fungi; Basidiomycota; Pucciniomycetes; Pucciniales; Pucciniaceae.